RNAcentral lists this ribosomal RNA (933 nucleotides) under Triticum aestivum (bread wheat). RNAcentral's name for it is "partial small subunit ribosomal RNA". The record is from RNAcentral. Lineage: Eukaryota; Viridiplantae; Streptophyta; Magnoliopsida; Poales; Poaceae.
AUGACUUUAAUCUUUAGCAAAAGCCAAAGCAAAAGGCAAAUAAAAUGGCACCACCAGCACGCAGCGAUGCUUGAAGAAUAUGUACAAGAUGCAAAGAAAUGUCUACUGGACACGGAGAAGUCCGGGGGAAGGUAUGGGCUUAGAUCACUAAGCAAUUAUAUGUUUGUUGAUCGGUCUGUUCCAUACUCUCUUUGGAUUAAAGUCCUGUCAGGAUUUAUGCAUAGUAAAUAUGAGGAUGAAUACAAAGAGUUGCGGUCUAGGCUUGGAGAUACAUUCAGUAUGCUGUACACCAGAGUACAAUCCUUUGGCACUAUAUAUGGGUCCGGCUUCAUGUUUUUUCUUCCAUUCCUGGCCUUAUCUUCUAUAGUGCUUUUGGCCACGAGCCGCAAGGAUGGCCACGAGGAGAAGGACAUCACGGUGACAUACAUCCUAUUCUGUUUCACCGCCAUGCUGGAGUUCCUGCUUCCUUGCAUGGUUUUGUCCUACAUGAUUUUGGCCCAGUGCAUUUCAUCUUUCAGUGGGGGGUUCCUUAUGAAGCAUUUUGAAGGGUGGCACGACAUGGUAUCUCAGUGCAACAUCAUGUCCUUCUGUGUUCGCAAGAAGAAGCCCACAUUCUUGAUGAAGCUUGCUGCCUUCAACUUUCUAAGGGAGUUUGUUAACCAACAUUGGUAUAUUAAAAAAGAAGCUAGAGCCUACCAAAUCACGCGGGUGGUUCGCCAGCACGUGGAAGAUGGUUGGAAUAAUUACAUAUGUGGCGCAGAAAGUUACAGGAAAUUCAAUGAGCUUCGAGGCCAGUGGGCUCUAAGAAGACACAAGCAAAUAGGGUGGAGCUUGAAGAUGAAUUUCGACAAAAGCGUCCUCCUCUGGCACAUUGCCACGGACCUCUGCUUUUACCACCCCAACACAUCCCAUCAAUGUCGUCAACAAGCAUAA